GAUGAACGCUGGCGGCGUGCCUAAUACAUGCAAGUCGAGCGAACAGAUGAGGAGCUUGCUCCUCUGACGUUAGCGGCGGACGGGUGAGUAACACGUGGAUAACCUACCUAUAAGACUGGGAUAACUUCGGGAAACCGGAGCUAAUACCGGAUAAUAUAUUGAACCGCAUGGUUCAAUAGUGAAAGACGGUUUUGCUGUCACUUAUAGAUGGAUCCGCGCCGCAUUAGCUAGUUGGUAAGGUAACGGCUUACCAAGGCAACGAUGCGUAGCCGACCUGAGAGGGUGAUCGGCCACACUGGAACUGAGACACGGUCCAGACUCCUACGGGAGGCAGCAGUAGGGAAUCUUCCGCAAUGGGUGAAAGCUUGACGGAGCAACGCCGCGUGAGUGAUGAAGGUCUUCGGAUCGUAAAACUCUGUUAUUAGGGAAGAACAAAUGUGUAAGUAACUAUGCACGUCUUGACGGUACCUAAUCAGAAAGCCACGGCUAACUACGUG
RNAcentral lists this ribosomal RNA (497 nucleotides) under uncultured bacterium. RNAcentral describes it as "partial 16S ribosomal RNA". It matches the Rfam family "Bacterial small subunit ribosomal RNA", at positions 28 to 507 of the family's 1533-position model. The record is from RNAcentral.